RNAcentral lists this transfer RNA (63 nucleotides) under Heterocephalus glaber (naked mole-rat). It matches the Rfam family "tRNA", at positions 5 to 66 of the family's 71-position model. Rfam says of the family: Transfer RNA (tRNA) molecules are approximately 80 nucleotides in length. Their secondary structure includes four short double-helical elements and three loops (D, anti-codon, and T loops). Further hydrogen bonds mediate the characteristic L-shaped molecular structure. tRNAs have two regions of fundamental functional importance: the anti-codon, which is responsible for specific mRNA codon recognition, and the 3' end, to which the tRNAs corresponding amino acid is attached (by aminoacyl-tRNA synthetases). tRNAs cope with the degeneracy of the genetic code in two manners: having more than one tRNA (with a specific anti-codon) for a particular amino acid; and 'wobble' base-pairing, i.e. permitting non-standard base-pairing at the 3rd anti-codon position. The record is from Rfam by way of RNAcentral. Lineage: Eukaryota; Metazoa; Chordata; Mammalia; Rodentia; Bathyergidae.
GUGUAGCUCAAUGGUAGAGCAUGUGCUUAGCACAAGCAAGGCCCUGGGUUCAAUGCCCAGCAC